RNA transcript from Calliphora vicina (urban bluebottle blowfly), 3060 nucleotides. It is a transcript of the gene named tropomodulin, with no coding region annotated. The transcript has 7 exons. The record is from RefSeq and is a predicted model, not a curated record. Lineage: Eukaryota; Metazoa; Arthropoda; Insecta; Diptera; Calliphoridae.
CAGAAAAUUUAAAUCAACAACAACAAAAAUUAUAUACUUAGUGUUUUUUGAUUUUUUUGGAAUUAAAACAUUAAUAAUAAAAAAAACCCACCUACAACAUGUCUGAAAUGGAAGAUGUCAUGUCCACCGAGGAGCAAACUCCCUCCGCUGAUACCACCCCAGCUCCAGCUGAUGAAUCUACCAAGAAAACCGAGUUGGUAGAUGAAACAAUGGAAGUAAUACCGGGCGAGAAAAUCGUUACCGAAGGUAUUGAUGAGGAUGGCGACGAAGUGGAGGAGGUCACUGAAGUGACUCGCAAAGUUGUGAAGCGUACUAUGAAAAUUACUGAGACUUCAUCAACCACCAAAACUACAACAUUAACUACACCAGCCAAGUUGUAUGGCAAGGAUUUGAGUGAAUAUGAUGAAGUGGAUGUUGAAGCCUUAUUGGCACAAUUAUCACCUGAAGAAAUUAAUAUUUUGGCCAAAGAAGUUGAUCCUGAUGAUACCUUCUUGCCACCAAAUCAACGUUGCAGUUAUGAAUGCACCAAGGAAUCUACCGGUCCCUUGAAUCGCAAAAAGCUUAUUGAACACAUUAACAAACAGGCCAUAGAAACACCCGAUGAACCCGAGUUUGAACCCUAUGUCAAGGGUACAGUGCGUGGUAAAAAAUGGGUACCACCACCACGGGAUGUACGUGAAAUUGAAGCUGAUGAAAAGAUCGCCAUCGAUAUGGGUGAAGAGUAUGAGCAGGCUUUGAGCGAUGCCACACAAGAGGAAAUUAUUGAUUUGGCUGCCAUUUUGGGUUUCCAUUCGAUGAUGAAUCAAGAUCAAUACCAUGCCUCUUUGUUGAACAAAGGCCAGCCUGUUGGCAUGGGUUGGGAUGGCAUCACAAAGUCUACACAACAAAAAGUGUACCCCAUGGAUCCACCCAACAACACAGAUGUUGAGGAAUCCAUUAAACGUGUUAAAGAAGAUGAUUCAAAAUUGAUCGAACUGAAUUUAAAUAAUAUUAAGAACAUUUCUGAUGAGAAAUUGGAACAAUUAAUUGAAGCACUGCCUCAAAAUGAACAUUUGGAAGUUUUGUCUUUGACAAAUGUGGGUCUGACCGAUAAGACUGCUUUAUUAUUGGCCGAGGCCAUUGAGAAAAGCAAAACCUUGAGAGUAUUAAAUGUCGAAACAAAUUUCAUAAGCCCACCUGUUAUAGUAACAUUAGUUAAAGCCCUGCUUAAGUGUCGUACUAUUGAAGAAUUCAGAGCUUCUAAUCAGCGAUCACAAGUUUUGGGUAAUAAAAUUGAAAUGGAAAUCACGGAUUUAGUGGAAAAGAACACAUCACUGCUUAGACUGGGUCUACAUCUUGAAUUCAAUGAUGCCCGUCAUAGAGUUGCUGCACAUUUGCAACGUAAUAUUGACAGAAUACGUGUUCAACGCCUGAAUCAACGUAAAUAAACGUGUGAUUAUUGUCUUGAAAAUGUCUUAAAUUAAAUGCAUCCAACCAAUCCAGCAAACCAACACAACCAUUUACAAUUAAAAUAAUAAAUCCAGAUGUUUGUUUAAAUAUCACCUUUAAAAUCCAUGUUUUUAACAAAACAAUAAUAAAUACAUUAUUAAAAAUAAAUAAAAAAAUAAUAAACAUAUAAAUGCUUCAUCAACAACUACAACAACUACACUCAAGUAACAAGUUAAAUAAUGAAUGUGGCCAUAAUGGAAUAAACAAUUUGAAAUUUAGUACCAAGAAAAGUCCCUCUAUUACGAUUUUUGUAAAAUCUCUGGACGUCAGCGACGCAUGGGACACUUUGGUAGAAAUUUUACAGUCGGUCUUUGGCAAUAAAUGCUAAAAGUAUAACAUCAAAAUAUAAUACAAAUUAUUACAAAUUUUAUUUAAAAAUUAUUUCAAUGUAAACUGUUUUAUGUAUUUUUUAUAUAUUUUAUUUCUAAAAUGAAAUGUUUGUUGUAAUUUUCGAAAUCUAUACUAAAAUCUAUAACAAUUAUUCAUGAUUGGUGUUAUUAAAACAAAAUAUUUAAAAAAGGUUAAUAAUUCCUAAAUUAUUAACAGUUUUUUUUAAAUUUUUAACAGCAAAAUUACUAAAUAAAUUGUUAUUAUUAUUAAUUCAUUUUACUAAAAUUACAAAUCACUUUCUAUGGCAAUGAGAAAUUUUAAACACAUCGUUAAACAAAUCGUUAAAUAAUUUAUUGUUAAAACAUUUCAUUCUCUAAUCAUUUAUUAUAUGCUGCAGAAGUACUGUAAAAACUAAAUUUGCAAUAUUAAUUUCCAAACUAAAAAUAUUCUUAACUUGUUCAACAAAAAAUGUGUAUGUUGUAAAAAAUUUUAUUAGAAACAUUAAAUUAAAUUAAAAUAUUAAAAUUUUUUCUUUAAAUUUAUUAUACCUAAAAAUUUAGAUAAAAAGACAUUUAUUAUAUUAAAAAGUAAAUAUAAAUUCUUAAAUACCUUUUCCUUAAUUGUUGUAAAGCUUCGAAAUUGAUGAAAUGUUUCACUUGAAAAUGUAUGCUUACUGAAGACGUUAUAAUCCCAAGCAGGCUUAAAAACAAAACCAGAUUAUAUUAAAUUAAAUAUAAAUGCUCUCACACGUACACAUUUAAUACAAUUUUUAUAAAUGGAAAUUCACGUAGUUUAAAAUAUUAAAAACAAAACAAACAAACACAAUAUUAAAUUUAAAACUCUUUAAUUUUAUGCAUUAUUUGUAAUAUGUUUUUCUCUUUUUUUUUAAUUUAAGUUGAUUAAUUUUAUUUUGUAUUUUGAAACUUUUACCAGAUGAUUAUACAUUAUUUAGUUCAUUUAAUUUUCUUUAUAUUUUUUUUUGGUAUUUUUUAAAAAUACUUCUUGCUUUUAUAAUUUUUUUUGACUUUAGAUUUUUUUUUAUUUAAAAAAAGAAAAUUAUUAAAAAUUAUCAUAAACUUAUUUUUAAUAAAACAAAAUAAAAUUGUAUAAUUUAAACAACACAAAAAUAUAUAAAAUAUUACACUUUAUAUAUAUUAAAAAUAUAAUAAAAUUGCUUAUAAAUUAUGUAAAAUGUAAACAAAUAAAAAAUACAAAAAAUUAAAAAAAAAAAUAAAAUAAUAA